This 68-nucleotide transfer RNA is filed under the name Ovis aries (sheep). It matches the Rfam family "tRNA". Rfam says of the family: Transfer RNA (tRNA) molecules are approximately 80 nucleotides in length. Their secondary structure includes four short double-helical elements and three loops (D, anti-codon, and T loops). The record is from Rfam by way of RNAcentral. Lineage: Eukaryota; Metazoa; Chordata; Mammalia; Artiodactyla; Bovidae.
GGUUCUAUGGCUGAGAGGUUAAAGCAUCUGCCUGCAAUGCGGGAGACCUGGGUUCGAUCCCUGGAUCA